RNAcentral lists this unclassified non-coding RNA (397 nucleotides) under uncultured fungus. RNAcentral describes it as "partial contains small subunit ribosomal RNA, internal transcribed spacer 1, and 5.8S ribosomal RNA". The stretch from base 1 to 73 matches the Rfam family "Eukaryotic small subunit ribosomal RNA", at positions 1759 to 1831 of the family's 1831-position model. Lineage: Eukaryota; Fungi. The record is from RNAcentral.
GCAAACUUGGUCAUUUAGAGGAAGUAAAAGUCGUAACAAGGUUUCCGUAGGUGAACCUGCGGAAGGAUCAUUAUUGAAUAAACUUGGUGGGUUGUCGCUGGCUUCACGGAGCAUGUGCACACUCACCAUCUUUAUACAUCCACCUGUGCACCCUUUGUAGUCUUGGAGAUGAGAGCGGCUGAUCCUCGAUAGGCCCUUUGGCCUGUCGGAUGUGAGGAAUGUCCUGCGAAAAAGCAUUGGCUUUCCUUAGAAAGUCUGUAAUCAUUUCUCUGACUAUGUUUAUUCAUAUACCACAUAGUAUGUUGCAGAAUGUAUCUAAUGGGCCGUAGUGCCUAUACAACUCAAUACAACUUUCAGCAACGGAUCUCUUGGCUCUCGCAUCGAUGAAGAACGCAGC